Small nucleolar RNA from Arachis stenosperma, 105 nucleotides. The record is from RefSeq and is a predicted model, not a curated record. NCBI's taxonomy places the organism in Eukaryota, Viridiplantae, Streptophyta, Magnoliopsida, Fabales, Fabaceae.
AAGGCAUGGUGUGGGCAUUUUUGGAGCAUUUCUGUGUACCUUUUUCAAGCUUCAUAGAGUGAUUCCCCCUCCUUUUGAAAAAAAAUUGAUGUCAUUUCUCAACCG